This 74-nucleotide transfer RNA is filed under the name Paludibacter sp. RNAcentral's name for it is "tRNA-His". It matches the Rfam family "tRNA". Rfam says of the family: Transfer RNA (tRNA) molecules are approximately 80 nucleotides in length. Their secondary structure includes four short double-helical elements and three loops (D, anti-codon, and T loops). Further hydrogen bonds mediate the characteristic L-shaped molecular structure. tRNAs have two regions of fundamental functional importance: the anti-codon, which is responsible for specific mRNA codon recognition, and the 3' end, to which the tRNAs corresponding amino acid is attached (by aminoacyl-tRNA synthetases). tRNAs cope with the degeneracy of the genetic code in two manners: having more than one tRNA (with a specific anti-codon) for a particular amino acid; and 'wobble' base-pairing, i.e. permitting non-standard base-pairing at the 3rd anti-codon position. RNAcentral also lists the same sequence under 1 other name. Lineage: Bacteria; Pseudomonadati; Bacteroidota; Bacteroidia; Bacteroidales; Paludibacteraceae. The record is from RNAcentral.
GUGGACAUAGCUCAGCUGGUUAGAGCGUCGGAUUGUGGUUCCGAAGGUCGCGGGUUCGAAUCCCGUUGUCCACC